UAUUUUUUUAAUUCCAGUUCUGUUUGAUUAUGGGGGAUAUGGAGAUUUUGGGAAGUAGGUAACUUUUUUUUUUUACUGAUAUUUUUGUUUUCUUUGGGGACUUGAAGCUCUGGAAGUAUGGAUGCAUGUAGUGCAAAGAUAGCAGAUUCAUGAUUUGGAGGAUGAGACCUUUGAUUCACUGGUGAAAGAUGCCAACCUUAUCUGUGUAUGCUUGAAAAUUCACUGAGAAGAAAGGUACCCACUUUACUUUUUCUCUUUUUCUUGUUACUUCUACAACCUCUGAUUCCUGAAGCCUUCUGGUUUAUGAAGAUUUUGAAUUUGUUGGGUUUUUAUAUAUUUAUUACUAUUUACAGUGACCAGAUUAAAAGGAAUGCAUGUAGUGGAAAUUGUGAAAAUUGGAUGUGGAAGUUCUUCUACUGUAGUUUCUUGAUAUGAUGAGUUCUCAAAGUAGUUGAAAAUUGGAUGUGGAAGUUUUGGUUUUGUAAUUUCAGAAACCCAUUUAUUUUUUAAUUCCUGUUCUGUUUGAUUAUGGGGGAUAUGGAGAUUUUGGGAAGUGGGUAACUUUUUUUUACUGAUAUUUUUGUUUUCUUUGGGGACUUGAAGCUCUGGAAGUGUGGAUGCAUGCAGUGCAAAGAUAGCAGAUUCAUGAUUUGGAGGAUGAGACCUUUGAUUCACUGGUGACAGAUGCCAACCUUAUCUGUGUAUGCUUGAAAAUUCACUGAGA
Molecule: long non-coding RNA, 724 nt
Filed under: Malus domestica (apple)
Lineage: Eukaryota; Viridiplantae; Streptophyta; Magnoliopsida; Rosales; Rosaceae
Description: long non-coding RNA (MDOM_LNC009623)
Source: RNAcentral